RNA transcript from Schistocerca americana (American grasshopper), 2301 nucleotides. It is a transcript of the gene named telomeric repeat-binding factor 2-interacting protein 1-like, with no coding region annotated. The record is from RefSeq and is a predicted model, not a curated record. NCBI's taxonomy places the organism in Eukaryota, Metazoa, Arthropoda, Insecta, Orthoptera, Acrididae. The transcript has 18 exons.
GUUGUCUAUGUUAUGUUUUGAGCGCGGGAGAAUGAGGUGCAGUGUAUGGAUAAGAGGAUGAUAAUGCAUGACAGCUGACACUGUAUCAACAUUUUGUAAUAGUGACACCGAAAUGUUUGAAAUUACGUGCAGUACUACUCUCUUUACUGUUGGGACCUUUCCCAUGGUUUUCGUCUUGGAGGAAAAUGAUGAAAACAAAAUUAUCGCCCAAAUGAUCCAGCAUGGUGGUGGCUGCGUAGCUUCUUUAAGAGGACCAUAUGGCAUUUGCCUAUCAUCUCCUGAAAAUUUGCUGUUGUUACAAAAUGAAGCAGUUUUCUCCACUGAAUUCAUCAAGGACUGCUGUAUAGCCAAUAGGAUUUUGGAUAUAAAUCAGUACAGGUUAGGUGGUCCUUCCAGUUAUCCUGAUAACUUCAAUGCUAUGAAGGUGCUCCUGAGGCAGUCUCACUGGCCAACACCUGCAGAAAGGGAUGAAAAUGACUCAGCUAAUACUGAUAAGCACUCAGAUUCUGAUACUACUGUGGAGUCUCAGAAUUCUAGAAGAAACAUGAGUUCACAUAGAAGCAGAACAUUCUCUGGAAAUGAAGAGAGAGAAAUUCUUCGUUGCAUUGUAGAGAACAAGGAGAUUGGUCUCAUUUUGGGAAAUACUCUUUGGAAGAAAAUUGCACAAAAAAAGCUGCAGGGUCGAACAUGGCAGUCACUGAAGAAGCAUUUUCUGAAACACAUGUUGCCCAAUAUUACAAAGUAUACAUUUUUGUCUGUAACGGACAGACUUGAGUUCCAGAAACACGGGAAGGUGCCUGCAGACAGUCAUGAUGUAACAAAUUCAGAAAGUAAACUACAAUCUGGUUCAUCAGUUCCAAGAACAAUCAGCCUGCAUAAACCAGCAGAAAGUGGUGGUACUGAAAGUUCUUCAAGGGCUAUCAGCCAGAAACAUGUGGAGGAACUUAGAUCAAGUAGAUUGCUCAGCCCCUGUGGAUCUUCUGUAAGUACUGGUGCCAGCAGUCUUGAAAGGGGCUGUGGUCAGAGGCUCCCAGAGAAACGUAAACCAUUCAGAAUCAUCAGAUUCCGUGAAUCUUCUGAAAGUGACAGUGAUGGUUGUCCAGGAAAUACAGACGAUCAGAGACUUCAAGAUAUAUGUCGGGUAAAUAGAUCUACCAGCUCACGGGUAUGUCAUGAGAACGAAGGUGGCAGAUGUCCCGGGAAACAGGAUGACCUGCAGCACCUAGAGAAAAACAAAGAACAUACCAUACAAAGGCGACAGUUGGUCAUUAACAGUUGUGAUGAGAUGAAUUCAGGUACUGAGGAGCAUCAUAGAGCUCCAGUUGUACAAAGAACAAAUAGAGAUCGGAGAAAAUCUCAAGAUAGUUCUUCAUCUGAUGACUGGUUUGCGGCAACGACUCAAGAACGACAGAACGUGAAUGUCAAAGCCAUCAGUCAGAAGUCUAAGAAGUUGAGGAAAAGACAUAGGGAAGAAUUUACAAUGGAAGAAGAAUAUGCCAUAGUCACAUACCUCCAGAAGCAUAACAGGUUUAGUAAUACUGGAGGCAAUGUUGUAUGGAAGAAUAUGGCAGCAACAGAGCCAAUGGGAAAUCGUCAUACAUGGCAUUCGCUGAGGGAACGGUACCUGAAGAAGAUUGUGCCAAAUAUUAAUAAAUACAAUUUGCCAGAAGAAAUAGUGAGACGUAUUAAGUACAAGUGAAGUGCAGCAACCAGGAAACUGCGCUGUGAAGAAAACUCUGAAAUGUAUAAGCGUAAAACAAAUUUGAAAUGUUUGUGAUUGGAGAAAGAAGUUGAGGACUACAAAAAAUUGUGCACUAUUUAAAUUAUUUCAUUUGCCACAUGUUCUGAACAGAUACCCUUGCAGUUUGUAAGUGUGUGUGUGUAGGUCAAAAGGAUCACAACCAGUAGCAAAAAAAGUGGGCAAACACAGUCUGUUUGCGUGAUCUACACUUACUGCGUACAGCAUAACGACUUUCAUUUCCCAUGUAAGAGAAUAGGCAGAAUUAGCCAGAGGAACCAAAAUCAUGCAGAGGUCAGGAUAAAAACUGUUAUAUCCAGCUCAUGUGAAAGUGCAUUGUUAAUAAUUGUAAAAUUCCACUUGUGUGUUAUUAUAAAGUUUUCAGAUAUAUGUGGUACAUUAGGAAAAUUUGCUGAUUUUUGUCUCCUUGCAUUUUUAACAUUGUUUUGAGUGCAUUUAUGCUUCUUUAAAUUUAUUUAAGCUGCAUUUAUUUAUUAUUUAAUUUUUUAAAAAUUUGUUAUUUAAAAUUGGUUCUUUUGUAUUUAUGCCUUUGUAAAUUUCCU